UGUGAUGAUUAGUUUUCAGUGAUGGCCUGCUGGGAGCGAACAGACAAGAAAAGAAUGAGGAAUUCUGAACCAAAUGAAGAUGAAAAUAUAUGUUAUACAAAUUCAUGACUCCAAUAAUUGAAGUUUGAAGAAAAAAAAUAUAAGGUCUUGAUCUUGUAGUUGAUCAUAGACUCUUACUUCUUCAUCCUCUAGAGCAAGAACAUGACAUCUAGAAGAAGAAGAAGAAGGAGAAAGAAAG
Molecule: unclassified non-coding RNA, 238 nt
Filed under: Hevea brasiliensis (rubber tree)
Lineage: Eukaryota; Viridiplantae; Streptophyta; Magnoliopsida; Malpighiales; Euphorbiaceae
Source: RNAcentral